Long non-coding RNA from Mesocricetus auratus (golden hamster), 1885 nucleotides. RefSeq lists it as uncharacterized. The record is from RefSeq and is a predicted model, not a curated record. NCBI's taxonomy places the organism in Eukaryota, Metazoa, Chordata, Mammalia, Rodentia, Cricetidae. The transcript has 3 exons.
AGAGCUGGGCUUCUCCACCCGGACCUCACCAAGACUUUGUCUGACCCUGAGCUGCGGACAGAGCGCGUUUGUCCCGGGGUCUCUGGGCCGCCCAAGGCCACCUGCUCCUCGGGUCAGGAUGAAACCUAAGAGCAUGACGUUUGCGGGUGAAACACAGGCAGCAUUAAAAUGAACGUUCACGAAAACAGACUCUGUCACAGUCCUGUUAUGUGUGGCUGGGGUUUGGAGACAUCAAUCACAAUCCACAGAAACGAAAAAAGUCAAAAUUAGAUUUGUCUCCACACUACUGAACAGUGAUGAAACCUAGAAUCCCCAGUGUGUACCUCUGCCAUGAGAAUCACCCUCCGUCCAGUGUCCACACUGCACAGGCUGAGGAACCCAGGAGCCACGGUUACCAGAUCUUUGUCCCAGUGGGGAAGGGGUUCCACUGUGCUGAGACGAUGACCCAGGUCCACACAGACAAUCUGAGGACUAUGGAGUGAAGAUCCGUGUAAAACACAACCACCUGGAACCACAGACGGUCAUCUGGGAAGAAACACUAGGAGUCUGAGUGUAAGCACAAGGCUGUGAAGACUGGAUCCUGAGUGAUGAGCAAAGUUUCUAUUUACAGGGGAGAUUCCCGAGCACCAGGCUUGGCAGUGUGAGCGCCCCCUGCAGGUGGACACAGGAUCCUGGUGUCUGUGGGAGUCUGUGUGGUGCUUGCAGGCCAGGGCCUCUGCUUUAGAGAGAAAUCAUCUCUCCCUUGUAUCCCGACCCUAGUGUUGUUGCUAUUGUGUUCCUGGAAUCGACUUUUCUUCUGGAAGUUCCAGGUUUGACAUCUGGUGAGAAGGAAGAGGAAGGGUGAGGAGAGGACAAAUUGUUUUGGGCUUUGAGUCUCUCCUGGUGUUUUUGUUUUGUUUUUCAGGCAUGGUCUGCCGCACCACUGUGGCUGUCCUGAAACUUACUGUGUAGACCAGACAGACUUGCCUUGACCUCACAGAGAUACACCUGUCUUUUAAUCCCAUGACCUGGGAUUAAAGGUUUGUGUCACCACACCUGUCUUUAGUUAUUUCUAUGGCUGUGAUAAGACACCAUGACCCCCACAAACUUUAAAAGGAACAUGUUUCACUUGGUCUUAAGUUUCCAGAGGGUUUGAGUCCAUGGUGGCAGAGGAAAGGAAUGGUGGCUGGAGCAGCUGAGAGCUCACAUCUUGAUCUGCAAGCUUCAGAGACACUGGGAAUGGUGGGAGUCUAUUAAAACCUCAAUGCCCAGCCCCAGUGACACACCUCCUCCAACAAGGCCACACCUCCUGAUCCUCCCCACACAGUUCCAUCACCUGGAGCUGAAGUGUCUGAACCUGUGAGCCUGUGUGUCCAUUCUCAUUCAAACAUCCCAGCAUGCAGUGUGAGUGUGAGAUGCCCUGCAGGGUUCUGCAGAUGUGUACAUGUGAUCUCUAGACAAACACCCUCAACCAGGAGGACUCCACUGUGUUAGGAUCCCCCCUUUCUUCUGCCACCUCCUGCUCAGCCCUUCUCUGUCCCUCAGGCCUCACCCCAUCAGUGCCCAGCACCCCUCACUCGAGCUCUGCACUAAUCCUGCCUCUUCCUUUGCCUCCAGUUUCUGUGGUCAGCCAUCUUGUCAGCUGUCUUGCUCUGAGUCAGGCUGUGCUGUUUCCUUCUGUUAAAUUCCUACAGGGACUGGACAGAUGGCUCACAGGUGAUAAGCACCUGUUCUGUCCCAGAGAAUUCGUGUUCAGUUCCUAUCAACAACAUGGUGCUUUACAGCCAUCUGGGACUGCAGUUCCGGGUGAUCCAGUGCCUGGUGUACCUGCAUACCUACAUAUAUACACACAUGUAUGCAUAAUCUAAUAAAAUACAUACAUCUAAUAAAAAUAAAAUUAAAAACA